RNAcentral lists this ribosomal RNA (456 nucleotides) under Salmonella enterica. RNAcentral describes it as "bacterial SSU rRNA". It matches the Rfam family "Bacterial small subunit ribosomal RNA", at positions 1 to 453 of the family's 1533-position model. Lineage: Bacteria; Pseudomonadati; Pseudomonadota; Gammaproteobacteria; Enterobacterales; Enterobacteriaceae. The record is from RNAcentral.
AAAUUGAAGAGUUUGAUCAUGGCUCAGAUUGAACGCUGGCGGCAGGCCUAACACAUGCAAGUCGAACGGUAACAGGAAGCAGCUUGCUGCUUCGCUGACGAGUGGCGGACGGGUGAGUAAUGUCUGGGAAACUGCCUGAUGGAGGGGAAUAACUACUGGAAACGGUGGCUAAUACCGCAUAACGUCGCAAGACCAAAGAGGGGGACCUUCGGGCCUCUUGCCAUCAGAUGUGCCCAGAUGGGAUUAGCUUGUUGGUGAGGUAACGGCUCACCAAGGCGACGAUCCCUAGCUGGUCUGAGAGGAUGACCAGCCACACUGGAACUGAGACACGGUCCAGACUCCUACGGGAGGCAGCAGUGGGGAAUAUUGCACAAUGGGCGCAAGCCUGAUGCAGCCAUGCCGCGUGUAUGAAGAAGGCCUUCGGGUUGUAAAGUACUUUCAGCGGGGAGGAAGGUG